UAAGUAGAAUUCUUUGUGGGGUGAUGCAGUGGAUAUGGUGUACUUGGACUUUGUGAAAGCCUUAGACAAGAUCCCUCACCUAAGGCUCUUAAGUGAAGGAAACAGUCAUGGAAUAAGAGGGAAGUUUCUCUCGUGGAUCAGUAACUGGAUAAA
This is a non-coding RNA of Chelonoidis abingdonii (Abingdon island giant tortoise), 153 nucleotides long. The record is from RefSeq and is a predicted model, not a curated record. Lineage: Eukaryota; Metazoa; Chordata; Testudines; Testudinidae.